RNAcentral lists this unclassified non-coding RNA (187 nucleotides) under Hansenula anomala. Its description in RNAcentral is "Wickerhamomyces anomalus partial internal transcribed spacer 2". Lineage: Eukaryota; Fungi; Ascomycota; Saccharomycetes; Phaffomycetales; Wickerhamomycetaceae. The record is from RNAcentral.
CUCUCUCAAACCUUCGGGUUUGGUAUUGAGUAAUACUCUGUCAAGGGUUAACUUGAAAUAUUGACUUAGCAAGAGUGUACUAAUAAGCAGUCCUUCUGAAAUAAUGUAUUAGGUUCUUCCAACUCGUUAUAUCAGCUAGGCAGGUUUAGAAGUAUUUUAGGCUCGGCUUAACAACAAUAAACUAAAA